AAUCUCUCUCAUUGCAGGCUGAAGAGGACUGGCCUUUCAGUGGCCCUCGUGGAACGGUAGGAAGCUGAGCUGGACUCUCUGCCACAUCGUUCGGUUCCCACAACAGCCUGAAAUGGGGUCUUGCCUUGUUGCCCAGGCUGGAGUGCAGCAACGUGAUCAUAGUUUACUGUAGCCUGGGCUCAACUCCUGGGCUCCAGUGAUCCUCCCGCCUCAGCCUCACAAGUAGCUGGGACCAUAGAUGAAGCAGCAGCAGAAAAAAUGGAAGCCAUUUUGGUUAACGGGUCACAUCUUAGCAGUUGGCAGCGUAAGAAGCGGAAGGAUCCACUGGUCAGAAAUGGAGAUUGAGGAGAAGCUGAGAGCACGGAGGGCUUCAGGGGAGAGCCUGUCCUUUGGAAAAGCGGGCAAUUUGCACUCGUGGUAGAUGAGUGGGGAGGCCGCUCAGUCUCUCUGCCCCUUUGCACAUGCUGCACCCGUUUAGUUUGACGUCGUGGAGAGCUCCUCCAGGCACGGGCUGUGUGAAAGGGUUUAAAAGUUUGGGGGCAUGGCUGGGGGUCCCCGCAUGAGGGGUGCUGUGUAGGCUCC
This 582-nucleotide long non-coding RNA is filed under the name Homo sapiens (human). RNAcentral's name for it is "HSALNT0344093". Lineage: Eukaryota; Metazoa; Chordata; Mammalia; Primates; Hominidae. The record is from RNAcentral.